GACGAACGCUGGCGGCGUGCUUAACACAUGCAAGUCGAACGGUAAGGCCCUUCGGGGUACACGAGUGGCGAACGGGUGAGUAACACGUGGGUGAUCUGCCCUGCACUUCGGGAUAAGCCUGGGAAACUGGGUCUAAUACCGGAUAGGACCACUGCCUGCAUGGGUGGUGGUGGAAAGCUUUUGCGGUGUGGGAUGGGCCCGCGGCCUAUCAGCUUGGUGGGGGGGUGAUGGCCUACCAAGGCGACGACGGGUAGCCGGCCUGAGAGGGUGACCGGCCAAACUGGGACUGAGAUACGGCCCAGACUCCUACGGGAGGCAGCAGUGGGGAAUAUUGCACAAUGGGCGCAAGCCUGAUGCAGCGACGCCGCGUGAGGGAUGACGGCCUUCGGGUUGUAAACCUCUUUCAGCACCGACGAAGCGCAAGUGACGGUAGGUGCAGAAGAAGGACCGGCCAACUACGUGCCAGCCGCCGCCGUAA
Molecule: ribosomal RNA, 478 nt
Filed under: uncultured bacterium
Lineage: Bacteria
Description: partial 16S ribosomal RNA
Rfam family: Bacterial small subunit ribosomal RNA
Source: RNAcentral